GUUUUGUUAACAGAAAAAUUAAGUAAAUUAUAUUGUAAUAAAAAAAAGGUAGAUAAACCAUUGUACAACAGUAUUCUAGGCGGCCAAGAGUGUGACAGACGCACUAAAAAACCCUCCAACUUUAACUUGUAACGUAGCUUCAUCCUCCAAGCCGACUCCUUUUUCUUUUCUCUCUUUCUUUUCCUGUGUGUAGUACAGAUGAAACUUAAACCAGUUUCUUGACACUGCUUUUCAUGUCCAAACCAGCCAUUUUGAUGGACUUUGGUAAGGGGGGUACACAGCAAGGAAAAAAAAAACCCAACCUUUGUAUAUGACUUUUAAAACAAAAAGAGGACAACACAGUAUUUUUCAAAGUUGUAUAUAGCGCAUAUGCAUGGACAAAGAGCAAGCGUGGCACGUGUUUGCAUAAUGUUUAAUUACAAAAAAAUAUUUAUUCUUUAAAAAUCUUCAAGAUUAUGUCUAUUUGCUGUGCAUUUUCUUUCAGUUCGAUUCUUUUGUUUGGUUUUGUUUUUUUUUCCCUGGGCUGGGGUGGGGGAAGCGUGUGCUGGUGUAGUGAAUAUAUCUAUAUAUAUAUAUUUUAUUUUUUUUUUCUUUUUGGAAGGCUUUUUCCAGAGCAGUUGGGUUUCUCCUCUUCCUGCAGUUCCUUUCUGUCCAGGGCCUCCCCCAGGUCUGUGUGUGUAUCCAUUGCUGGCGACGGACGCGGCCCCUCGCAGCUCCUGGAGCUCUGGUUCAGGAUGCCUUGCCUUUUUCUUGGUUUAUUUUUGGCCCCAGAUCUAUCUUUACCUGCCCAAAUCCAGCUCUCUGUUCCCACUGGUGCACGCAGGACACGUGCUGUGAUCCCAGAGGAGGCGUGUGAGUGCGUGUGUGUGUGUUUGUGUGUGUUUAGAGGUUUGUUUUGGAUCCCGAGGCAGCACACGGAGGGGUGUUUUGCACCACUUCUCCAAAGGCUUCCUGCGAGAUUUCGGCUGUGGAUCUCCUCUCCCUCCACCUUUCAUCUGUCAAAUGGACCCUUUCUUGCUGUUUAAAAGGGGAAAGAACUAAUGAGUUUAGCUACUGAGUCCAUUUUUAUGAUUUCUGUAACAAGAGCUAUGUUAAAGUAAACAAUUGGUGGUGGUUUUAUUAAAUUUACUCCUGUAUAGGAAUUCCUUCUGUGGUAUUUUUCGCCAGGCAAGUGUUCUCCAAGCCUCCUGCCGCUCUGCCAGCUUCCAGGGGAUGGAAGUUGUGAAGGGAUCAGAUAAAAAAGGCAGAUCCCAGGCAGGGCUGUAACACGGGAUGCUGUUUCCAGCUGGCAGCGGGCUCACUUUGCCUCCCUCACCGCUCCUACCGACGUUCCACAGAUGUGGUUUUUUCCCCUGUAUCCCUGCUUUUCCCUUUAUUUGCCCUGGAAAUCAAACCUGGUGUGGUUUUAUCCCGUUUUUCCCUUUUAUUUGCCCUGGAGAUCAGAGGCAAGGGAGUGCAGCCGCCUUCCCCGUGCUGUUCUGGUGCUGCUGGAGGGGUGGGAUGGCGCCGGGCUGCGUGGAGCGGCCGUGCCCGUGUCCGUCCCUGCCAUUCCCGCUGGGAAUUCUCUGUCCAUGCAGUGAAACACUUGGAAACUGGGCUGGGCAGGGCAGGUACAAGCACAAAGGCGUUGGGUUUUCACUCCGCGUUCCCCGAAAGGAAAACGCCAGGGAUGAGGGCACUCCCCCCAAAGGGAACCCGCUCUGAGGCGUCCUCAGUCCCCAUGGCUGUGGGCAAAUAUAGAGACAGCGACAAAGCCCUGUUCUGUGCGAGAACCUGCUGCAGCUCCUUUGCCCCGGGUUUCAGGCGCUCGCAGUGAACUACCAUCCCCACAGACACUGUGGAAAUAGAAAGGAAAAUAAACAAACUCCGCCAUGCCA
Long non-coding RNA from Junco hyemalis (dark-eyed junco), 1877 nucleotides. The record is from Ensembl. Lineage: Eukaryota; Metazoa; Chordata; Aves; Passeriformes; Passerellidae.